RNAcentral lists this ribosomal RNA (602 nucleotides) under bacterium enrichment culture clone MF8. RNAcentral's name for it is "bacterial SSU rRNA". It matches the Rfam family "Bacterial small subunit ribosomal RNA", at positions 324 to 916 of the family's 1533-position model. The record is from RNAcentral.
AAUUCGCCCUUACUCCUACGGGAGGCAGCAGUGGGGAAUCUUCCGCAAUGGACGAAAGUCUGACGGAGCAACGCCGCGUGAGUGAAGAAGGUUUUCGGAUCGUAAAACUCUGUUUUCAGGGACGAAUGUGCAAUAUGUGAAUAAUGUGUUGUAAUGACGGUACCUGACAAGAAAGCCACGGCUAACUACGUGCCAGCAGCCGCGGUAAUACGUAGGUGGCAAGCGUUGUCCGGAAUUAUUGGGCGUAAAGCGCGUGUAGGCGGUUUGUUAAGUCUGUUGUGAAAGCCCUGGGCUCAACCCAGGAAGUGCACUGGAUACUGGCAGACUUGAAUACGGGAGAGGGUAGUGGAAUUCCUGGUGUAGGAGUGAAAUCCGUAGAUAUCAGGAGGAACACCGGUGGCGAAGGCGGCUGCCUGGACCGAUAUUGACGCUGAGACGCGAAAGCGUGGGUAGCAAACAGGAUUAGAUACCCUGGUAGUCCACGCCGUAAACGAUGAGUACUAGGUGUUGCGGGUAUUGACCCCUGCAGUGCCGCAGCUAACGCAUUAAGUACUCCGCCUGGGAAGUACGGUCGCAAGACUAAAACUCAAAGGAAUUGACGG